UGUAAGGUGGUACUUCCGGGAGUGUGGUGGGGGGAGAGGUGGGGUAAGGUGGUACUUCCGGGUUUCUCUCGUUUCGCUGAGCGUAGCUGGAACUGCGGACAUCCUGCUCGUCUUCCUAACUCGUCAUCUCAGGUCCCUGUCAAGGGCGGCAGACGUGGGGCGAGGGCGGGCUGUGUGUGGACAGAGUGAGUGCUCGCCUCCUGCCCGCCUCCGGCGACCCUCUCUGCUUAUCAGACGAGAUGCUUUGGAAAAGCAAAGAGCCCCAGGAGCGGUGUGAAAGCCAAGGAACAAGCUUCCGUUCCCUCACCCUCACUCAGUUCAGCUGUGCACCAGUCAAUGGCAGUUGUGACCACGGAGGGAGAGGCAGAGAGAGAGGAUCCCAAGCUGGCUCUGUGCUGUCAGUGUAGAGCCUGACUCGGGGCUCAGUCCCACCAACAGAGACUGUGACCUGAGCUGAAAUCAAGAAUUGGA
Molecule: long non-coding RNA, 471 nt
Organism: Neofelis nebulosa (Clouded leopard)
Lineage: Eukaryota; Metazoa; Chordata; Mammalia; Carnivora; Felidae
Exons: 3
Source: RefSeq, a predicted model, not a curated record